Molecule: long non-coding RNA, 18284 nt
Filed under: Daucus carota (carrot)
Lineage: Eukaryota; Viridiplantae; Streptophyta; Magnoliopsida; Apiales; Apiaceae
Description: long non-coding RNA (DCAR_LNC005318)
Source: RNAcentral
UUUCUGACAAACAUUCAUUCUCUAUGACAUCUGCUACUAUUACUACUUGCAGGCCUUUAUUACCCGAAUAAAUUUCUAUCACUGUUUUUCGUCUUUUUGAUGUUUUGUCUCAACUUCGAAAUAACUGCAUUCAUCUUAUGCCUCAGACAUGAUGCAUAUGACAAGUUGUGUUCACCUUAACAUAGAUUACCACAGAUAAUAUUACAGUACAUCUACUACAGAUACCUCGGGAAGCGGACUGCUGGUGGGAGAGGACAAGAUGAUGACUAUUCGGAGAGCCCAUGAAACAAUGAUGCAGAAUGUUCCUGGCUCUCCAUUGCUUGCUGAUGAAGGCUACAGAGAUGAGAAAUCGCAUGAAUAAAUUAGUUUGUCUGGUGUAGCAGCUUUAAACUAGUUAGAGUAUGUAGUAUCAUGACUAUAUAGAACUUUGAGCAAGCCUAUAUUUCGUAUGAAUUAAUCAUGUAGAUGAAUCUGUAAUCGAGCUGAGUCGAGUCGAGUGAAGCUAUAAUUUGAAAAUAGUACAAUAGUUGCAUUGCAAAAUCGUACAAGGUUUUUUCACCCAGACACUUUCUGGAUCCCAUAGCAUCUCAAGCUUUAGAUCAUUUGCCUCUUUAAGUUCUUUCUUUUUCGUCAAUUUCGCAAGGGUCUUUCUGGUACGUGCAAACUAUUUUUUUAGAUAGAAGAUUUUAUUAGUAUCUAUCUCUAUUAACGAGACAGACCUUUGUACCAAGUUGGUUUCAAAAAAGAAAAAUAAAUCUGAAGCCCUACAGGAUUCUUCCGGACCAACAGCAGCACCAAGAAUAUCAUGUUAUAGGCCCAAAUACGAGGCUUAUGUGAUUUUCGGCCCCAUUUGUCUUAACAAAUUUAAGCUUUCUUCAAAUAAUUAGUAUUGACACAAUAAGUAUACUAAUUUUGUAUGUCAAACGCUAGCAAAUAAUUCAUAUUUAACUGUAAAUUAAAAUAAAAGGUAAGAAUUAUCCGGAAAAGGUCAUAAAUUUUACUUUCAAACUUUUAAAUUUAACUUGUGAAACUACUAUAGUGAUGAAAUAUGCAAGAUUUAUGAUGGAAAACAUGUUUCUUGUACUCUUUUCUUGAUAUUCAACAUAUCUAUACAAUCUAUAUACAUUAUUAAAUUUAAAUAUGUAAAAAUUUGGUCGUAGUCGAGUAAAUUCAACUCUUUAUUCACUUAAAUCAAAUUAGUUAGAGCAUCUCCAAUAACUUCUUUAUAGAAGCUCCUAAAUUGAAAUUCGAAGAGAAUUGUAAUUUUGCUUGUUCCAAUAGAUACCUAAUCACUCUUAAAUUCCUCAAAUUUCUCUUCUCUCUCCUCACUUUUAGGAGCUACUGGUCACUCUUAACUACUCUCUCUAUCCCAUUUUAACUGAUGUUUGACUUUUUGACACGUAUAUUGAGAUGCAAAAAACUUAUAUCUACACUUAAUAAAAAAUUCAAUUUUUAUAUCAAAUUAAAGUUUAGAUUCUAAACUUUUAUUUGAUAUAAAUUUUAUAAAGAAUGAUUAUGUUUAGAUAUGAUUUUUUUAACACCUUAAAAUACGUGUAAAAAAGUCAAAAGCAGUUAAAUGGGACGGAGGGAGUAUUAUUUUAUAAUAAAUUUGUAAGCAAACAUUCUCUCUCCAUCCACUUUCUUUUGUACCUUUAUGCACAUGACUUACUUUUAAUAAUAUAAAAUACGGUCUUUCUAAUGUGUGCCCAAGGGCACACAAUAAGCACCAACUCUCAUGAAAAUGACUUCAUUUGAUUGGUGGAAUUGGUGUAAAUGCAGGGGGGGGUCACCAAUAUUUAUUAUUCAUCUACCAAUCAAAAAUUAGUAUUCACAUGGGAGUUAGUGACUAUUGUGUGCCCAUGGGCACACCAUAGAAAAUUCGUAUAAAAUAAAAUAAAGAGUGAAUAUAAAGAGUGUUGUUGAAGUUGAACCCACAUUAACUCACUAAGAGUCAAUAUUUUAUAUUAUAUUUAGGAGUGAGUUAAGAGACUAUUGGAGAUGCUCUUAGAAACGUUAACGUUAGACCAUAUAUCCGUGGAUAACUAUUCCGUCACAUACUAAAACUAAUAAUAUAUUAUUAUAACAACAAAAUAUGAUACUCCCUCCGUCUCAUUUUAUAAGUCUCUUUUGGGAAAAAAAAAACUUGUCUCUUGCUUUUAGCCACCAUGAAUCAUCAAUUUUGCUUGUUGCCUGCAUAAAUCAUGGCCAGUUUAUUUUGGAAAAGAGUAUGAACACCAGUUAUUUUGACUUUUGAGGUCGGAUUCUCGGUUAAUUUGGUAGCUGUCCUCCCAAUCUUCAGUGACAGAUAGCGACUGAGCAUGAAUCUGGAGAAUUCCUGAAAUGCAGGGCAGUUUAAAAAAACCAUGCAAUUGAGCUCUAAGUCCUCUGAACUUGUUGCAACAUGAGACUUCUUUUUGGUAGCUGGCCUCUCAAUCUUUAGUGACAGAUAGCGACUGAGCGUGUCAUUUACAACCUGAUGCCAAUAACAUUUGUCCACGUGAAUCCGAAGAAUUUCCUGAAAUGCAGCUUUGUUCAGAGGGUCAGGUCUGACAAGUAAUUGUUGUAGCGAUCUACCUGUUAGUAAUUUUUUAUAACGAAAAGACAUCAACCAAAUUUUUAUGUGCAUGAAGGGGAGCCAUUACUCUAACUGCCUUAGAUACCCGGUCUAGACAUGUUGGCAACAAUCACUUACAAUCACUUGUCAGGAUCAUCUCCAUCGUUGAAACAAUAACAGAAUGACACUUGUGGCGGAAUUGAAUGCAUCAAUGCAGAUCUUACCGGUAUGCAUAUAGUGAAAACUGAUCUCUUUGUCAUGUCAGUUUUGUAUUCAGAGCAGAUACAGACAUAUGGGGAGUGAAAGAUGCCUACGGGCAACUUUUUAACUUCAUCACAUUGAAGCGUGAAUAAACGCCCUGCUGGUCCUCAGAUUUUUGAGUACGAAGGUAAGUGAAAUGAAAUUUAUAGAGUUUCGGUCACUAGUUCCAAUUUUAAUAAAUCAAAUAAUGAAAUAUUUAGGUUAUUUUAUUGACGGUUCUUGAAUUGUUUCAAGGGCUAAAAUAUGUGAAACAUACUAGUUAUUUACAAUAUUUAUGGAUGGCUCUCAAAUUUUAAGGAUGAUAACAAUUAAUAAAUGAUUAACUAAAAAGUAUGUGCAAGAGAUUCCAAUGACUUUAGUUCUAUUGCUAAUAAGAAGUGAAACAUGCAAUUUAUUGUUCGACGCAAUCUUAUCUUAUCAGAGCAUUUUUAAUGAUAUUGAUUAUAAGCGUAAGCUAAAUUGAGAUUAUGAUAUAUUAUAUAAAAUCGGUUGAAUUUUUAAAAUAUUUUACUUAGAUGAUAUUGAUUAUCUUUUCACUUGUUUUUUUCUCUAAAAAGGGCUUUGAGAUCAAAACAAAUAUAAAUGUUAUUAUUUUCUCCAUCUGUCAUCUGAUUUUUUUAUUUAAAGUUUGAGAGUUCGAAUUCGGAAAUCCGGACAACAUAUACCGUGGAGGGUAAAAACGGUAGUGUCGAAAUCCAGCAUCUCGUUAAUUUUAAAUUAAAAUACACAGCAGCAUUUUGGCUACUGUUAAAUCGAAAUAUAAGNACAGACAUAUGGGGAGUGAAAGAUGCCUACGGGCAACUUUUUAACUUCAUCACAUUGAAGCGUGAAUAAACGCCCUGCUGGUCCUCAGAUUUUUGAGUGCGAAGGUAAGUGAAAUAAAAUUUAUAGAGUUUCGGUCACUAGUUCCAAUUUUAAUAAAUCAAAUAAUGAAAUAUUUAGGUUAUUUUAUUGACGGUUCUUGAAUUGUUUCAAGGGCUAAAAUAUGUGAAACAUACUAGUUAUUUACAAUAUUUAUGGAUGGCUCUCAAAUUUUAAGGAUGAUAAUAAUUAAUAAAUGAUUAACUAAAAAGUAUGUGCAAGAGAUUCCAAUGACUUUAGUUCUAUUGCUAAUAAGAAGUGAAACAUGCAAUUUAUUGUUCGACGCAAUCUUAUCUUAUCAGAGCAUUUUUAAUGAUAUUGAUUAUAAGCGUAAGCUAAAUUGAGAUUAUGAUAUAUUAUAUAAAAUCGGUUGAAUUUUUAAAAUAUUUUACUUAGAUGAUAUUGAUUAUCUUUUCACUUGUUUUUUUCUCUAAAAAGGGCUUUGAGAUCAAAACAAAUAUAAAUGUUAUUAUUUUCUCCAUCUGUCAUCUGAUUUUUUUAUUUAAAGUUUGAGAGUUCGAAUUCGGAAAUCCGGACAACAUAUACCGUGGAGGGUAAAAACGGUAGUGUCGAAAUCCAGCAUCUCGUUAAUUUUAAAUUAAAAUACACAGCAGCAUUUUGGCUACUGUUAAAUCGAAAUAUAAGAUAUUUAACAUGAGUAGGAGAAUCGAGACCCCGUGAAGCACAUGGGCACAUAAAAUAAAGGAGUGAAUAUAAUCUUCAAAGUUAGAACACCGCACUUGCAGCUUUUUUCAUGUAAAAACGAGAACUUGUCUGCAUCCAUCUCUAAAGCGUAUUCGUAAAUUUGUAGGCGAGCAUAGCUCUGUCACAGCUGAAUAUUUGUGCACAUAAAGAGCCAUCAAUUAUUAAUAUGGUUGUAGUCAAUCAAAAUUUAUACAUAAUUCUGUCAAAAAAAAUAUACAUAAUUAUAAAAUAAUUAUUAAUAUAUGUCUAUGACUAUGAGCAUACAGAAAAUCCGUUAAUUUAAUAACAAGAAAAUUAUGAAAUUAUAAAAAUUGUAAUGGGUAUAUAAUUGUCAUAUGGCAUUGUAUUUCUAUCUAGAAUAAAAAAUAAAAAUUACCGAUGAUUUACAUCAGGAUCCGCAAUAUUCAUGAGUAUGCAAGUAGUGGUAGAUGCCUGUGAAAAAGAAAACAAAGUAGUGGUAGAUGCCAACUUAAUUGAAGCUACCUACCAGCAUCUUAUUCAUGCAUUUAUAUCGGUAGUCUUUAUUUUCUUUCAAAGAAGCGCAUCUCACUAUCCAGUGGCGGAUCUGACUAUGAAGUUAAGGGGGGUCAAUUUUUUUGUAAAAAAAAUUAAAAGGGGUCACAAAAAAAUUAAGGGGGGUCAGUUGCCCCCUCUUGCCCCUUUUAAGAUCCGCCUCUGUCACUAUCGGCAGUGAAUUGCAUGUUUCCAGGUCGGUAUUACUUUCAACCGUUUUGAAAGAACGGUCCUCUGUUUCUGAUGUUUAUGUAAUGUACCGUCAUAUAUUUUAGUACUCUUUCCGUAUUUUUUUAAUUAUCAUAUUUGGUUUGUACCCGUUAAAAUGAUCAAAGUUGAUUAAAUUUAUUAAUAUUUUAUCAAUUGAUAAAAUUAAAAAUAUGUCUCCGAAAAAAACUUUUAAUCUACCUUAGAGUGUAAUUUUCAGUUUUUUAAAAUAAUAAAAGAGUGGCUUAUAAUCUUUGGUAAAAAAUUAGUCAAUUUGACUAACAAAAAUUAAAAUGUGACAAUUAAAAAGAGACGGAGUGAGUAAUGUUUAUGAAAAUUUUAAAAUAUGAUUUCUAACUAAUAAUAAAUGUUUCUUAUAUUUUAAGUUACAUAUUAAUCUUGUUCAUAAUCUUUAUUUAAAAAUUUCAAAUUUCUAAUCACAAACUAUUUACUUGGAUGAUUUGUAACUUCCCGAUAAGCAAAGACACAAUGCAAUUUUAUUGACACAUACCGCAUCUGCGCUUUGGGAGGACUAUGACUUAUGACUCGUCUUUCCUUCCGUUUGGUUCAAAAAGACUAUUCCAUUAUAAAAGUUUCCAGAGAAUUGACUUUUCCUAUUAAGUAAUGAAUGAAUUGAAAUGACCUAAUCGAUGAUGACUCUUCGCAUUUUAUGCAAGUAAAUAUACUGUAGUCAAAUUAUAAUUUACAUGCAUUUUAGAAACUCAACCCCUAUUUAUACAACUGCUAAAUCAUCGUCAAAGUUCGACCUGGCUCACAGGGGUGGCAAUUUCGAGUAAGGGGUUGUGUUUGAGUCAGCAAUCGGGUUGAUUUCAGGUCAAAUUAAAAUCACUUAAAAUUAAAUAAAACUGAAAAUUGAAAUUAUUAGGAACGAAAUUCUAAUUUGGGGUCCAUUUCGUGUGAAUCAGAUGAUUUUCGGAUCACUUUUGGGUUUUGUCUCAGUAAAUCGGGUUGCGGAUUCGGGUCGAGUUCGAAUCGGCCUCGGGCCCUGUCUGAUAUCGUCACCCCUACAUUGACCAGGAAAUAUUACCUAUUUAAUAUAUUCAUCAAAUACUUUCUCUAAUAUAUAUUACAUAGAAUAUUUGGGGGUUUUCACGUUAUUUCAAUAAAUUUUACUCUAUAGUUAAACUAAUUUGCUUCUCUUAAGAAAAUUUUGAUGAGAAAUAUGUAUUUUAAUCUCACAGUGAGAAUAUCCCAAAUUCGUGAAAAAUUUAAAUUGGAAAAUUUUCUUUAAAAUGUUUGGAAAUCCUAACAAACAUGCAAUCGAAAGCAUUCAAUAGUAUUAAAAGGUAGGAAUUUGUCUUGAUUAGUGAAUACACAAAAUAAAGAUCGGUUCGAUUGAUCAGAAAUUAAUCAGAUAAUCAGUUAAAAUAACUAAAAAUUUAAUAUUUUAGCAUGUUAUAAAAUAAAAAAUAAUCGAUGAUUAAUAACGAUAAUUACUGAAUUUUAGAACAAUAAUGAAUAAGCCUUUUGAAACAUGUGACACCAAAAAGAAUUCAAAUAUUUAAGGGCCCAUUUGUUAACGGGUUAACGAAACAACCUCAACUGGAUGAGCGCAGAAUAUGUCAUUAAGUUUGUUUGACAAAUUUUUUAAAUAGCUGGACGAACCAUAAAUCAACUGGACGAAACACCUCAAAAAUAUGAGGGUCUCUCGUCCAGGAGUCUACACUCUCCUAUUAUUCUCUUUACUGCUUUCAUGUUGGAUAACUAUGCAUGUUAUAUUUUGAUUUUUAAUAAUAUAAUAAUCUUUUAAAUAGAAAUUUUCGUCUUAUAAUUAAAUUAUUUUAAUCAUGUGCACUAUCAUUAAUAGGUCUAUAAUUAUAUAUGAUAGAAUACUCGAUUACACAAUAAUCAAAUAAUUAUAAAUAAUUGUAAGGAUUAAAUAUAUAUACAAUAUAAUAAUAAUAAUAAUAAUAAUUGAUAUAUUAUCUUCAUUUAUAAUAAAAAAUUAAAACUCAAGAAUUAUUAAUUUAAUAAUCAAAAUAGCAAAAUCUAUUGUAUGGGCUAAUGGAGGGUUUUUAGAAAUACCAACACUAAUAAUAAUAGAAAUAUUGUUCAGAAGAAUCUAAUAAUUUAACAAACAACAUUGUUCGUGCAGUAUUCAGAUUUAUUAAUCAUUCAGAAUCUUGAUGAUCCAGAAAAAUUUGUUCAGAUUUAACAAAUGACCCCUAAGUCUCCACUAACAAAAACACACCAUGUUAAAUCCUUAUUCCACAAAAUCAAGUAAAACCCAAUUGAACGCAUGUCUUCAGAGUCAAGAAACAACAUGAAUGAUAAAUUUGAUAUAAAAAAAAACAUGAAUGAUAAAUUAGUAAUCAACCCAAAACAUUAAAUUUGGUAAAUUAACCAAAACCUAUAUUUUAAUACCCAGAACAAAAUAUAUAACAAAAGGCAUGCACGUUUAUAUAACACCAACCAAUAUCUCCAUGUCCACAAAUCCUUCACACCCUCUCCCUAAUUUAAUCUUUCGCCUCUAACACCCCCCAUUCUUCAUCUUAAACCCCCCUCUACCCCCACAAUAUUACUAACAUUUUUCGUGUCUAUAGGCCGGAAAAAAUAAAAAUUCCGAUGCUUAAGAUUUUAUAUUAUUUGACGGAGCAUCCGUUGAUCAUUAAUUUCCGGUGUAGAUAAAUUUUGAUCUGUCAUUUGUUCCCUGACCUACUCACCCUCUUCCCUCUCCUCUCAUCUUCACGACCUAACUUGAGAUGAAAUUAAUUAUUUCCUUAUUAUUGUUCACUUCUUGCAAGUGCCAAAUUCUGAAUCUAUCAAAGAGGAUGUUUUUCUGCGUAUGUUUGUGUAAGUGGUACUCAUACAUCAGUUAUUCUUCCAGGAGUAUAUUUAACAUAGUUGAUGAUGACCCUACCCCAAGAGAAGAAGUUUUUAUGUAUGGCCAAAGUUUGGUUGAGAAAAAAUGGCCGGGUCACACAAGACAAUUAACCUCUCAUGAAAGGGCAGAGUCAUCAUUCUCUAAGGCAAAUGUAAGAGGUGACAAAAGAGUAUCGAAUGCUCGUAUGAAGAAAGAACUAGGAGUACAGCUGCGACAUCCUAGUUAUAGGUCUGGAUUGCAAAGCAUUCUUGAGCAUCUGGGCCUUUCUAUGAACACCCCUGGGUAAUGUCGCAGAAUCUAAAUGUCCUUGAUUGAUUCAAGACGAUGCUAUUCACAGGUAACACAUACUCCCUCCGUCCCACCCAUUUCUUUACACUUUCAUUUUUGGGUGUCCCAUCCAAUUCUUUACAUUUCAAAACUUACCAAAAAUAGUCAAUGGGUCCCACCACUUCUCCACUUUUCUUUCCUUUUCACACUACUUUUACUCCACAAUCUUCUUUUUUAUACAUUAAAAAUCAAUGGGUCCCACCAUUUUACCCACUUUUCUUCCACUUUAUACAUAUUCCUUAACCUCCAUGCCCAACCCAUUUGAUAAGAAAUGGGUGGGACGGAGGGAGUACAUUUUAGUAAGAAUUUUCUCCUCUCCAGAAUUGGAGACACACUCCGACUUUUCAAGUUAGUUUGUGAAGUUGAACAGUUAUCCUAUUAAUUCAAGGUUUGAGAUUAUGUAGUAAUAAAUACUUCUACACUUCUACCAAGAUGAUACAUUAACGAAUCAUAUGUUAGCAAAUGCGAAUUUGGUAACAUAUUCCUAACAUAGAACAAUGAAAAAAUCCUAGACGGGUUUAGACAAUAUAUCUGUCAAAUCCUAAUACCUAUCUGGAUAAGGAAAAUCCAAAUCCCAGUCAACUUUUUACCUUAACAAGAGCAACAUAUUGGAUGAUACUAAUAAUUUUAUUCUAAUUUAUUGCUUUAUCAUAUUUCUCCUGUCAAUACUAAUAUGAUAAUAUGACAAGACGAACUUCUAAAUUUUUUUUUUCUCAUCAUUAAUACAUGCUUUAAUUUGUUUGCCUGGAAGGAAUUAUCUGGUAGAGGACCUUGUUUUGGAAUUGUGAAAUUUGUCCCAGAAUUAAAAUAAUUUAAAUGAUCACCUUUUUCCCCUUUUGCAGGAAAAGAAGUCCUUUUGUGGAUCCCCUGAUGAGUUUGAAAUAUCAAUCAGGCAGGUGCUCUCAUGGGCUAUACAAUCAGCUUCACAAAGAAAUGCACCUCAUAUGAUUAUCCGUUCAUACAACAAAAUGGUAGAACUUUUAAUAAUAGCGAUGUUAGCAAUCAAAAGAAGGAACUGAGGAAAACAGCAUCGAUUUUCCAUCAGAUGACGAUAUUUAUAACCUGAUUCUGGAAGCUUUUGUUUCAAACUUGUAUGCAAGCCUAAUAUAACACCACCCUCAAAGAGCAUACAUUUUACAGAGAGAAACAAGUCAUGUACUCUUCAGUUCUGCCUGGAUGCAUAAACUCAGCAACUAUCCCUGUAGUUACAAAGGUACAAAAUCCAGCUCACAUGUCUCUAUUUAGACCUAUAUCAUGUUGUAACACUCUUUACAAGUGUAUCUCUAAGCUUUUGGCGGGUCUAAUGAAAUUGUAAUGAUUAGCAUUAUCUCAUCCUGUCAAGCUGCUUUUAUUUCGUGCAGAAAGAUCGGUAAUAAUAUUUGGGAGCUGAUAUGUGCACACCCUCGUUUUUUUAGCGAUAUUGAGAUCAAAUUACUCCUCAUGCACAUCUUAAUCUUUAAAGUAUCUUUAUGCACAUCUUAAUCUUUAAAGUUUAUAAAUCAAAUAUUUUCAAUUACCUCUCUUUUUCCUGAAUUUUGUUAUUAUGGCCCAAAUAAUAUUACAUCACUAAAUUACGUGUAAUUUCGUUGUUGUGGAUGAGAGACCAGAUGUCCAUGCAUAUCUAGAAACUUGAUUGAUCAAAAAAACGACAAGGCAGGCCAUGUAGAAUUACCUGCUUUCUGUUUAUGAGGAAAACCAACACCGCACUAGCUUUAUCCGCUUUUUCAACAGGCCUCCUCACUGUUUUUUCCUAUCUGUUGAACAAGUGAAACAAUUUUGUUUUUUAUGUUAUUAUUCUCUCCAUUUAACUUUUUAAAAAUACGAGUAUCUGUUCUGACCCACCACUGGCCUGGCCUAUUGUGCUCGUGAAAUUGUUAUCGCCCGAAUAGUAAGUAUUACAUCAUGUAAUUACGUGUAUUAUCGUCGUUGUGGAUGACAGACGAUAUGUACAUGCAUAUCUGGAAUCUUGAUAAUAAAAGUGGGGAUUAAUCAGAUAACAAUCAGAGCUUUGGAAACAUACAUUUCAUUUCGGAUUUUAGAUGACUGGAUUUGAGUUAUCAUUUCAAAUUUUCAUAUUUUCAUAAAAUUUGAAUAUUUGGAUCUCAAAAGAAAUAUAAAUUCAAAUUCUCAAACACCUUAUUAGAUCAGAUAUCCAAAUUCAGAUUUCCAAAGAGGUCAUCAGGUAAUUUAUAUAUAAUACUCCCUCCGUCCCUUUGAUUCUAUACAUUUUCUUUUUCGAAAUGUUCCAUUUAAUUUUAUACAUUUCAAAACUUUCUCAAAAUAGUAAAUUUUUAUAAUAUAAAAAUCACACGCACCCACUACUUCUAUCUACUUUUUCAAAUCUAUUAAUUAAAUAUACAUGAAUCCUACCACUUUACCUACUUUUCUUUAUCUUUCUCAUUACUUUACACUACUUUAUACACCUUUCUUAGUCUCCAUGUCCAUUCCAGACGUAUACAUUCCGGAGGGAGUAGUAUUUAAUAUAUUAAUUUAGUUUAAUAUAUAAAAUCAUUUAAAAAAAUUUAUAAUGAUUCUCGAUUUUCAAAAUUUAAUCAGAGAAACAUCUUAUAAUAGAUUAAUCAGGAAUCAUCGGCCGAGUCGGAAAUUUUUUAAACCAUUCCGAUUUAUAAAAUUCCGUCAUCAAAACUUAUGGAUGAUAGGGACUGUUUGUUAUUUACUGUUACUCGAGGUAAGCAGCUGUUAACCUAAUUAGGAUUUAUAUAUUAUUAAAAGUGCUUAAAUAUAAGUUAUUUAGUUAUAUUGAUAUUUAUAUUGAAUAUUUAAUAGUUUAAAGAGGAGUGUUAUUUGGAUUAAAAUAAAAAAAGAUAUUAUAGGGGAAAAAAUAUAAAAUAGAUUUUUUGACACAUUUAUGUCAAAAAUAACGGAAGCUUACUUUCUACUUAAGAAAAUCAAUCAUGUGUCACCCUCCGUUCAAUUUAAUUUUAUACAUUUUUUGCAACUGUUUGACACAUAUUUCAAAACUUUUAUAAAAUACAGUUCUAGAUCCUGUUUUUAACUUUCAUAUUUGUAUUCCGAAACUGAAAAUUUUAAAAUCACUUAUACAAUUAUACUUCCUAUGAGUUUUAAAAUAUAUAUUGUGUCCCUCUCUCACUAGAGUAACAAACAUGAGCUUAAACUAUGACAAUUAAAAUGGAGAUGAUAUAAUUAUCACAGAAUAGUAUUAGUUAGUCAUUUAUUUAUUCACCAAUCAGGUUCAACAAUUUUUUAUCAAAUUAUCUGAACGUGUGACUACUGAGUUAUCAUUUUCGAUAAAAUUAAUUCUAUUAUUUUAAUAGGAAGAAUUGAAAUGUAAAAUGCGGGAGUAGAGGAAUUAUAUAAUUAAUUUUAUAAAUAUUAUUAUUUUUACCGGAUAAUUAUCAAACUCAUGGACAAAUGGUAUCAACUUCAUCACUAAUCUCCACGGAGUCUCAAGCUGCUCACUAAACUCGCUUAAUGGGAUCAAACUCAUCACUGCCGUUAAAAAAAGUAACGGAGGUUAGACGGAGUGACAGAUUGACGGUGGACGUGGAACAUUAAUAAAAAAGACCGAAGAAAAACAAAUGAAAGAAAAUAAAAAAAAAGUAUAAAAUAGAAAUGCCACAUAAUUUGAAGUUUAUAUGGAAAUAAAGUAUGCAAAAUUUUUAUUAAAUUAAUUUUAGGAUAUAAUUAUCUAAAUAAACGUAUCAAACUAAAUUUUAAUAUAUAAUUAACUAAAUAAUUAAGAUUAACUUUUAUGUUUUUUAUUAGAUUAUAAUUAUUUUUGAAUAAUAUUGAAAUGUUUUCUCUUUUAAUAAAUUUUAUUUAUGUGAAUAUUAUUUUUGGCAAAAAAAUAAUUAAAAUUUAUUAAAAGAGAAAACAUUUCAAUAUUAUUCAAAAAUAAUUAUAAUCUAAUAAAAAACAUAAAAGUUAAUCUUAAUUAUUUAGUUAAUUAUAUAUUAAAAUUUAGUUUGAUACGUUUAUUUAGAUAAUUAUAUCCUAAAAUUAAUUUAAUAAAAAUUUUGCAUACUUUAUUUCCAUAUAAACUUCAAAUUAUGUGGCAUUUCUAUUUUCUACUUUUUUUUAUUUUCUUUCAUUUGUUUUUCUUUAUUCUUUUUUAUUAAUAUGCCACGUCAACCGUCAAUCUGUCACUCCGUCUAACUUCCGUUAUUUUUUUUAACGGGAGUGAUGAGCUUGAUACCAUUAAGCGAGUUUAAUGAGUAAUUUGAGACCCCAUAAAGAUCAGUGAUAAAGUUGAUACCAUUUGUACACUUCAGUCAUAGACUUUGAUAAUUAUCAUGCAAGUGUGACAUGGAGGGGAUAUACAUGAAGCUGUAAAGCUGUUGCACCAUGCUAUUGGAAAUCGAAAACUACACUUUGUCCAUUAUAUAUGUCGGUUAGCUCAUUCACAUAUAUCAAUUUAAUAUUGACAAGUUGUUGAGCUUGCACCUAGUGGUGCUUUGAUUUUUUCGGAAAAUAAUAUUAUCCUGUUUUCGAUUAUAAUAAGAUUACACAUGAUUUAUUAUUAUAUUAAACUGAUAUAUUUUAUUUAUAAUAUUUUUAAAUAUUAUAAACAUAUUAUUUUCAAAUUAUAGCUAGUCAAUAUAGUCAAUACUAUUGAAACACAAUGUAUUGCAUGUUCAUCAAAUUUUACAUAAAAUCUUGCAUGUUCAAUUUAGCCAACGAUUAAAUUAACCCCGUUCUUACUGUGACAAAAAUUAAUACUCAUAAUCCAUCCGCUUCUAAUUAAUUGUCAUUUGUUGAUUUGUAAUGAUUAAAUUGACUACAUUACCCUAAAAAUGUUUUACCAUAUAAAUAGUUAAAAAUAGAUUAUUUUCACAUAUUUUCUUUAAAUUUUAGUUUAAUAAUUUAAAUUGUAGAAUGGAUGAGUAGGUACGGAAGAUAGGAGUCGAAAACGCAUUUAAUGCGGUCUACAAGUACUACGUUGGGCAAUUAUGCCACGAAGAGGACGUGCAACAAGCGAAAGAUGACACGUGUUCUUCGAAAUAUACUCUCUGCAGUAUCGAGAUGCCGCUUCUUGUCCACCUCAUCAUUAUCAUCGCUAUCUCCAUACAUUACCUUAGUCAACUUAUGACCAUUUUGUUUCUCUAUUUAAUACAGUAACUAUACUUAACUUCGAGAUUAUUAUAUCCAGGAUUCCUUCCUUUCAUGUUUUGCCCUCAACUUUGGUUUUUGAACAGUUUUAGUCCAUUUUCAAGCAUAACUAUAAUUCAAAAGAUAUUAUUUAAAGACGAAUAUUCACAUUUACCCGCUCGUAUUAGAACUUAUUUUAAUUUUUUGGAAAUGAUUUAAUCCAAAUAUAGUGCAUGAUUAUAUUCAGAAGAAAUCUGGAUUCGAUUAUAUUUUGAUCCAAUAUCAUUCUAAAUAGUAUAAUAAAAAUGAUAUUCAAACGUUAGCGAAUGAUAUCAGACUACUUCAUGAAAAAAUUCACACGAAUUCAAAAAAUAAUAACUAGAUCCACAUCUUAAUAAUCAAAAUUAAUGGGAACCUAUUAUCGAUUAAGAGAAUUCAUACAUCUAUAUAAAAAAAAUGAUAUCAUACCUAUAUUCAAAUUCAAUUCUUAUAUUAUAAGAUGAUUUAGUGAUCAAUUAUAUUGUAUGAGUCGCUUUGUGUAACCCUAGAUAUUAUAAAAGAUAAGUAUCUAAUUAGUACUGCAAACUAACAUUCAUGAUUAAACUGUCUCACAUAAAAUUUAUCCUCGUCAAAAUUAUAUCGACAUCAAUAUUUUUCUAUCAUAUCUAACAUGUAUAUAACACUUCUUUGAUUAAAUAGUAAAUUAUAAAAUCUAGUCUCGUUUUAAAAGUGACAUCAGAUUUUCUAACACGUUCAUAUCGAUCAUGAACCUGGAUCACUUUUGUAACCAAGUUCAUAUCGUCCCUUACAUUUCAUAUAACCCUGACACAACAUGAUCACAUGUACAUGCAUUCAAGUACACCAGAUAGUGCCCCUCAAAUCACAAAGAAAAUAUAUAUGAAAAUGAAAAUCUGUCCCUUGAUAGCAUGAACUUGGCCGUAGUAUGAUACAUUGUUCAUUGAUCUCAUGCUCCUUAGAGCAUCUCCAAUAAAGGUUGCCAAGAGGUUGCCAACUCCUACAUGGCAUGACAAUCUUGGUUGCCUACCUAUUGUAGUUGUAUGGUUGCCAACAAGUUGCCAACCAAAGUUGCCAAAAAUUGGCAACUUCCUCAUAUAGUAAAACCACAUACAUUUCCUCAAAAGUGAAUACAUUUCUACUCAUUUUUGUAUUUUUCAUAUUGUUAUCAUUUAUGAAUGGGACCACAUUAACAAUUUUUAAAGUUGCCAAUUAUUAGAGUAGAUUUUUAACGAAAGUUGCCAAUAGUAAGAUGGAUGAGAGAAGAGAUAAAAUAUUAAUAUAUGAGAUGCUCUUAUUCACAAGAAAAUCAACAACCUCCAAGUACUAACAAAUAAAGCAUAGUAUCAGAUAAAAACAACAGUGCACAAGGCAUAUAAUGUGAACAAUAUGCAUGGUACUUGUGAUGAGUGGCAGAACUGUAAUUUCAAAGAUAACUUCGAGUGACCUCCUUAUUUUGUCUUCUGUGUUAUCAUAACAAUCACAACAAGAAACUACAUUUGGUUCUAUUAACAGAGCUAGAGACUAGAGAGCACUGGGGCAUAUAUUUACACUGUUCUUUUUACCGUGGUUAAAACAAUAGUAAAAGAAGUGAUGUAAAAUGUCGGCAUUUCACAUGUAGUAUAUUAUAGCCUAUAGGGGAUAUGCUUUAAUUCCUUAUUUAAAAGACUCUGGUACCAAAGUACUUGCAUAUUCAGUUUAAUAUUUUGCAACAAAAAACAUUCAGAGAGAAAGAGAGAGAGAGAGAGAGAUGAAGAAUCCAUUGUUAUCUGUAGUGUUAAAGAACUCUGAUGUGGCGUCCUCGACUUCGUAUUGUGUGAAGGAGAGAAGGCCUUGUGUUGGAUGGGUUGAUAAAUAUUUUAAAGAUUGUUUGUGUGACACUAGAGACAAGCUUUCGUUUGCUUCUGGUAUGUUGAGUUUAAUCAGCUGGGGAGUUGCUGAAAUCCCUCAGAUUAUCACCAACUUUCGGUCUAAAUCCAGCCGUGGUGUCUCCCUUUUGUUCCUCCUCACUUGGGUUCUUGGGUAACUCUCUCUCUCUCUCUCUCUCCCUCCCUCCCUCCCUCUCCCUUUCUCCUCUCUCUCUCUCUGACUCUCUCUCCCUCUCUCUCCCUCUCUGACUCUCUCUCUCUCUCUCCCUCCCCCCCUCUCUCCCAUACACACGUGGCGAGUAAAUAAAUUUUCUUGAUUUUUAUGUUAUUAAAAUUCUUGAAAUCUUUAUGGUGCAGUGAUAUCUUUAAUCUGAUCGGGUGUCUUCUUGAACCUGUGACGGUGAGUAUGAUUCACUAUAGUUACAUAAUUUCCUUCCCUUUUUUGUCACACAUGUAUUUACAUAUAUAUGUUCCCAUGUAUAUUAAAUAAAGAUAUCACUGAUUAAUCAUUCUGAUCACACUUUUUUUUAUUAAUGAUGCAGCUCCCAACCCAGUACUACACUGCCCUGGUAUGAAUCCCACUUGUUUCCACAUUUGUUAUUGCAAUUUACUUUAGUAAUAUUUGAAGCAAAAAAUUGAUUUAAUCAGAUUAAAUAGAGGGUUAAUUAGCAUUUUGGUCAGGUUUAAGAGUUGCUUAUGUUCGAAAAAUAGCUAAAAUUUACUUCUAACGACAAAAUUUGAUCACGGUACAGAAAAAAUUAGCCAAACGGGUUCGUUCAAUUCGGCUCGUUUUAAAUUUUGAUGAAAGUGCAUGUUCGGUUUAUUAUUGCGAUAAUUUUGUUGAUUGAACAGCUCUAUACGACAAGUACAGUGAUAUUAGUGCUGCAGUGCCUGUACUAUGAUCAUGUUUAUAGUUGGUGGAAAAGCAAAAAAGUGGAUGCUAAUCAACCGGUGCAAAUUUCUCUCCCCUCUUCUAGCAUUUCGAUCAGAAUGGUCUUUAUCGUGUUGUUUUUACUUGUCUGAUCAUAAAUUUUAUAUGUUUGACAGAUUGAAGAUGUGAAGAAACCUCUAAAACCAGCAAAGGAAAAUGAUGACGAUGAUUCUGCAAUUCCAACUACUGAUGAAGGCAAAAUCAACAGUAACUUCUAUUUCACGUAUGUGGGAAUUUUAGAUUCUUUUUAAAUAGUGUGAGGAAUGCUGAUUGUUUUUUACUUGUUAGUCUUGAAAAUAUUUGUUUAUUUUUGUACUAAAGUUCCUAUCUCUAUGAUUUUCAUAUAUUAAUAGAGACUCUGGAUAAUGAAUUUGCAGAUCAGCACGAUCUUUGGCGGGCAGUGCUACACCACCUAAUCGGUCUUAUCUAUGGACUGCAAGAAGUGGUCCUUCAGCAUUGACACUUGACGGGGACUCAUCUUCUGAUGAUGAGGUGGAUGCUGCUGUAAUGACGAACAAGAAAUCCAAAACCCAACCAAAGCCAAUCCCCCGUUCUGUGAGUUAUUACAUACUAGUUACAACUAAUUGGACUUAUUAUGUAUGUGCCUUGUAAUAUGAUUAAGAAACGUUUUUUUUCUAUUCAGACGUUUAAUGCCAGGUUAAGAAAUGUAGCAUUUAAUAGAUAUAGCAUUGAUAUAUUCGAAGCGGAUUUGCAAACAUACUGUGUGUGUAACUGUGUAUGAGGAUGAUUAUCGAUGCAUAUACCUAUUAGUGCACACUUAUAUAUAUUUCAUAAGUAAUACGACGUAUCAUGUAUUACCAGGCUGGUUAUGGUGCAUUUCUAGCUACUUCACUCAACCUGCCAAGAAGCACCAAAGCUCUACUCCAAGCUUCCGUAGCAUUUAGUGGGAGGAAACUCUUACAAGUAAGACGACAAUCAACAUUUAUUUCCAGAGUAGGCAUACUUUUUUCAAUGAAUUGCCUUUGAAUGAUAAUGAUUAAUGUAUAUCGUUUGACAAAUCAUCUGAGCAGGGGAAUGCAGAUACAGAAAAAUUUGUGGUUGGCCAGUGCUUAGGUUGGAUGAUGGCUGCUGUAUACAUGGGUGGCCGAAUCCCUCAAAUUUACUUAAAUGUGAGUGCCUAGACAAUCCACAGUUCACAGCUGAAUACGCAACUUUCUUCAUUCGAGCAAUUGUACUUCUAUAACUACUUCUACAUUGCCUUUCCUGACAUUUAUAUAUUGGAUUUAUUUUUCAGAUUAAACGAGGAAGCGUUGAGGUAAAUACUUAACCCACGAAUAUGAAAUAUAAUAUACAUCAAAACCGAUUUGUAGCUGAUCUGAAUAUAAUCAAUGAUGACGAUUUAAAUCUUUCAAAUUAAUCUUCUUUACACCUGACAUGUAGGGACUGAAUCCUCUCAUGUUUAUCUUUGCACUCAUUGCCAAUGUCACUUAUGUGGGAAGGUGCAUUUCUUAUAUAUAAAUCUUCAUUCUCUUUUCAGAAUCCUUGCUUCACUUUCAGUUGCACUUACUAUUAUUUUGCCUGUCAAUGAUUUCAGCAUUCUCAUACGAAGCACGGAAUGGGAUAAAAUAAAGGCCAAUAUGCCAUGGUUGUUAGAUGCAGUAGUCUGCGUUGGACUCGACUUGUUUGUAUCCUCCUCUAAUUCUUAUAAAUUUUACUUAUACUUCGAAACUUUAUGCAUUCAUAUUCCCCACCCACACACAACAGAUAUUUCUGACAAACAUUCAUUCUCUAUGACACAUCUGCUGCUCUUACUACUUGCAGGCCUUUAUUACCCGAAUAAAUUUCUAUCACUGUUUUUCGUCUUUUUGAUGUUUUGUCUCAACUUCGAAAUAACUGCAUUCACCUUAUGCCUCAGACAUGAUGCAUAUGACAAGUUGUGUUCUUAACAUAGAUUACCACAGAUAAUAUUACAGUACAUCUACUACAGAUACCUCGGGAAGCGGACUGCUGGUGGGGGAGGACAGGAUGAUGACUAUUCGGAGAGCCCAUGAAACAAUGAUGCAGAAUGUUCCUGGCUCUUCAUUGCUUGCUGAUGAAGGCUACAGAGAUGAGAAAUCGCAUGAAUAAAUUAGUUUGUCUGGUGUAGCAGCUUUAAACUAGUUAGAG